RNAcentral lists this long non-coding RNA (2545 nucleotides) under Salmo salar (Atlantic salmon). Its description in RNAcentral is "lncRNA (ENSSSAG00000096568.1)". Lineage: Eukaryota; Metazoa; Chordata; Actinopteri; Salmoniformes; Salmonidae. The record is from RNAcentral.
GUGGGGAGAGAGAUUCGGAAGAAAUGCUGACUUCCUCUGCAGCCCAGCCCACUGAAUUUGUACGAGGCCGCCUACAAUUGACACGCCACAUUGCAUCAACCAAUGGUUGUGUGCCAUGUCACUGACAAUAAUAAAGUACACCUUUCAUGCAGAACGCUCCGUCUUCAGUCUUUCAAAUAAUAUGUGUAGAUAUUAAGGAGGCUGUAUGUUUGUAUUAUCACAGCACUAUAAGAAAAGGGGCUCCUCAAAAUCCAUUGUGAGACUAAAAACGUCCUAAGGCUCGUCAAUAACAACGACGAGACAGCCUAUAGACAGACAAGAAGCGCAGUGUCUAACAGCGAUGUGCAGUGGAAACAACCUGGAGCUGAACACAAAGAAAAGAAAGGACAUCAUAGAGGAUUUUAGAAAUGUUUUAUUUGUUCCAUUUGACUGUUUUACUGUAUACCUCUGUGUGCUAUGUAGGCCUAUUAUUUGUGAGAGAGCUCCAAAGAAUAAUUCCAAUUUUGACGCUCGAAAAGCGGCUUCACUCCGAGGAGCAGCUGUAGUGUUGCCGGUCCGGAGAAGAGAGGCUGGGCUCUGUGAGGACGAUGGUAGUCAGAGGCAGGAACAAGGCUGCGUUAUGACACCAGUGAAGCAGCGGAGCAGCUCUACUGUCUCGGGUGAAGCUCGUUUUGGCUCGGCGGACGAGUAUUCCACUUCAUUGUUUGAUCCGUGCAUAAUGCAAAAAGUCCUUAUAAAAGGUUAUGUUCGUGGGAGAGGUGAUCAACGCUGUUAUCAGGGCUGGUUUGGCACAAUUCUCUGUGAUGCAGUGGCUUUGGUAUAUUCAGUCUUUGUUCUGUUAGAAAACGAACUGUGCUCUGCAUUCUCAGUGUCUCGGUCUGACAAGACUCCCGACUCGACAGUGCUCUAGUAGGAUACAGUCAUCUCUCAAUAUCUACAACAACACUUAUUAGGAAGGUUAUCUGAAUGAAUUAGGAUAUGAAAUGGCAUGUCAAGUCAGUCACUAUAAAACCAAGCUGUAUUGGAUAGAAAAUAGUAGACAUUAAGUUAUCCUACCCAGACGAAGCAUACUACUAAUCUACUGGAGAAUUGUGUCUCACUUUUGUAAGUGAAUGGAAAUACAAGUCACUAUAAAACCAAGCUGUAUUGGAUAGAAAAUAGACAGUAAGUUAUCCUACCCGGACGAAUCAUACUACUAAUCUACAGGAGAAAUGUAUGUCUCACUUUUGUAAGUGAAUGGAAAUACAAGUCACUAUAAAACCAGCACUGCCUCUCUACUCACUGACACUGAGCUGUCCGAAGAAACCAGAAGAGAGCUGCCAACUGUCAUCAUCAGAAGAAGAACAAAUCAGCCAGAAGUCAGAAACACUCAGAUUGACUGCUGCUAAGGCUUGAACACUGCCAGAGAGAACUGCGUUGAUUAUGAAGGGGAAAAUAACCUUUACGGUUUUCCUACUUGCCCUUGUUGCAAAAUCCUUGGUGUCUCUUCCUAUCACUAUAACAGUGAUGUUGAAUCACCCAGUUACACCGCCCUGCUCUGGAUCAUGCCAUGGUGGCAGAAAUAAGAAGGGAAGGAAAGAACCAUAGAAUAAAUGGAACGUUCUGCUAUCACUCCGUGGAUCCAAGACCAAGAAAACACACAUCCCCUCAGGAAAAAACACUGGCAUGUCACGCUCUGCUCUGCCGUCGCUGCCAGCCACCAGCAUGACUGACACUUCAUCGGUGUCUCUCUACUGGCACUGUGCGAUAGUCUCGGCUCCCAUUGAGAACUUCACCCCUUACACACCUGCAUAGCUGAGUGGGGAGAUAGAUUCGGAAGAAAUGCAGAAAUAAGAAGUGAAAUACUCUCGUCCGCCGAGCUACAACCGAGAUAGUAGAGCUGCUCAUCAAUUUCGCUGGUGUCGUAAUGCAGCCGUGUUCCGGAUAUGAAUAGUGAACUCUUUUCAUAACAUCCUCUGUAAGCUAUUAUACAAUGGCAUUGUAUAAUGCCAUUACAGCUAGAGUGUAGUUUGCCUUGACAUGAAUAAAACCAAAUGAAUGAUCAGUCAGAGAUGUGUGUUGUGCUUUUAUUCAUAAUAUAUAUGAAACAUGACUGUAUAAGAUAGUCCUCCUGCACAUAUCACGCCAUUGGUGUUAGCCCAUAUAUGUCGCCCCAUAGGAAAAGUUAUACCAAUCCUUUAAGGACAUAUGAUUAUUCAACAUUAACUUCAACUGGGUUCUCCUGAUCAACACCUCGGUGCUUAACUGUGUGACAGUAGCAAGACUGUCAAUGUCUUCUUCCUCACAUCCCUCCGCAAGCCUCAGCCCAUGGAUGAGUUUGGUGUAUAUGUCCCAGAGUGUUGUUCCGUAGAUUAUGGUGAUGGAGAGAUGCCCGGUUAUUUCACCUAUGUUAUCAGAGGUGCUCUGGAUCAAGACUUUGAUGUGAGGCGUAUUUUCGUCUACAAUGGCAAUUCUAUACCUUGAUGUAUUUGUCUUGUGUAGUUGUUUACUGCACUCAUGUGUUAUUGUGUACCAAUGACACCGGCUUAUGUUAGACACCAAACAC